CCUACGGGUGGCAGCAGUGAGGAAUAUUGGUCAAUGGGCGGGAGCCUGAACCAGCCAAGUCGCGUGAGGGACGACGGUCCUAUGGAUUGUAAACCUCUUUUGUCGGGGACAAAAGGCGCCAACGUGUGGGCGGAUGAGUGUCCCCGAAGAAAAAGCAUCGGGAAACUCCGUGCAAGCAGCCGCGGUAAUACGGAGGUAGCGAUCGUUAUCCGGAUUUAUUGGGUUAAAGGGGUGCGUAGUGGGACAGUAAAGUCAGCGGUAAAAAUGCGGUUCUAAACGCCGUACAGCCGUUGAAACUGGCAUUCUUGAGUGGGCGAGAAGUAUGCGGAAUGCGUGGUGUAGCGGUGAAAUGCAUAGAUAUCACGCAGAACUCCGAUUGCGAAGGCAGCAUACCGGCGCCCGACUGACGCUGAGGCACGAAAGCGUGGGUAUCGAACAGGAUUAGAUACCCGAGUAGUC
This 459-nucleotide ribosomal RNA is filed under the name uncultured bacterium. Its description in RNAcentral is "partial 16S ribosomal RNA". It matches the Rfam family "Bacterial small subunit ribosomal RNA", at positions 338 to 795 of the family's 1533-position model. The record is from RNAcentral.